Molecule: long non-coding RNA, 929 nt
Filed under: Homo sapiens (human)
Lineage: Eukaryota; Metazoa; Chordata; Mammalia; Primates; Hominidae
Description: MIR663A host gene
Source: RNAcentral
GGUUGGCUGAGGACGAUUCCCUGAGCCUUGACAAAGCAGGAGCCCUCCGUGGCGGUGCGUCGGUGUCGAGGCUCCAGUCUGACUAAUCCAGGGGGUCGACAAAACAGAUUCGGGACACUAUGCUACACGGAGGGCCUACCAGGAUGCAGAAACAGCAGACGGAGUCCAGGGAAAGCAGUGCGGCAUCCCAGCCUCAGGCCUGCCCGUACGGUGUUCGGAAAUACUAGGCUUUAGAAUUUCACCAUAUGAAUUUUGGGAGAGAGGAGCACAGUUCAGCCCAUAACUAACACACGCAAGACAAAUCUCUCCUCUGCCUUCUCCUUAUCAGACUACUCAACAUGAAGGCAAUAAGAAUGAAGACCUCUAUGUAUAAUAAUUGACUUCCACUUAAUAAAUAGCUAGCUUGGACUUGUUCUGAUGGAAAUAGCAGGAGUCCCAACUACAAGAGUUGCAAUGUCAAGGCCUCAUCUUAUAACUGGCACAUAGGUCACUUCCACCAUAUUCUUUUUGCUAACGAAAGUCACAAAGUCAGUCCAUGUUCAAGUAGAGGGGAAACUGACUCCACCACUUGAUGUGAAGAGUUGGAAUAUCAUAGUUAUUGUUUCUUGUGACUUGCCAUAGCGUAUUUUCUCACACUAACAACUCUGUAUUUCUUCCCAAAUUCUGAAAAAUUCUUUUGUUGGCUCUUCCUGUACUUGAUUCAUUACAUUAAGUUUUCCAUUUAAAUGUUAUUUCCUUGGAAAGACUUUAUCAUUUGUCAAGUAGGUGUAUUCUCUUCAUCAGUUACUCUAUUUUCUCAUUACAAUAUGAACUUUGUAAAAAUGGGAACUUUACUUUGUUUAUGCCAGUAGUUUAUAUACAUUUUCUGUUACGUGAAAAGUACAAAAUGUUUUUUUCAUGGUUAAAGAAAUAAAAGAAUAAAUAUGUAA